Molecule: ribosomal RNA, 605 nt
Filed under: Myiodactylus osmyloides
Lineage: Eukaryota; Metazoa; Arthropoda; Insecta; Neuroptera; Nymphidae
Description: 12S ribosomal RNA
Source: RNAcentral
CGCGGUUAUACAAAUUAUAUAAUUAAAAUAUAUUAGUUAAUAGUUAAAUAUUAAAAAUUUAUUAAAAAUUAUUAUUUUUAGGUAAAAUUUUAAAUAAUAUAUAAAAUAAAUUGAUUUAGAUUGAAAUCUAUGAAAUUUUUAUAAAAAACUAGGAUUAGAUACCCUAUUAUUAAAAAUUUAAAUUUAAAAUACUAAGGUAGUAAUAGUUAUGAUCUUGAAACUUAAAAAAUUUGGCGGUGUUUUAGUCUAUUUAGAGGAACCUGUUCUAUGAUCGAUAAUCCACGAAUGAUUUUACUAAAUUUUAUUUAGCUUAUAUAUCGUCGUUAAAAGAAUAUUUUAUAAGAAAAAAAUUUUCUAAUUUUUAAAUAAAAAUAUAUUUCAGAUCAAGGUGUAGCUUAUAAUUUAGAAGAAAUGGGUUACAAUAAAUAAAUUUAAAUGGAUGAAUUAUUGCAAUUUAAUUUUAAAGGUGGAUUUAAUAGUAAAAUUAUUAAAAUAAUUAAUUUGAUUUUAGCUCUAAAACAUGCACAUAUCGCCCGUCGCUCUUUCAUUAAAGAAAGAUAAGUCGUAACAUAGUAGAUGUACUGGAAAGUGUAUCUAGAAAGAAA